Long non-coding RNA from Corvus hawaiiensis (hawaiian crow), 3068 nucleotides. RefSeq lists it as uncharacterized. The record is from RefSeq and is a predicted model, not a curated record. Lineage: Eukaryota; Metazoa; Chordata; Aves; Passeriformes; Corvidae. The transcript has 3 exons.
ACCUGCCGGGCCGGGCGGUGCUGGGCAGGGGCGGCCAGCGGGGGCGAGAGGAGGAGGGGAAGGAUGAUCAGAGCACGAAGAAAAAAAAAAAGACAAGAUGACGAAAAGGAGAAGCGGUCGCUGCCGUAGGGACGCGGCCGCUGUCCCGGAGCCGUGGGAACCGCUGGAGCGCCGCGAGGGGCGGUGCCGCCCGGUGCUGCGGGCCGAGGUCGUGGGGAGCCCGGGUCUGUGAGGGAAUCGCCCGGAGCGCGAAGGGGCCCCGACAACAUCGCCUGAGCGCGGGGUAUCCGGGCCGCCCGCGGGGAUGCGGGAACCAGCGUGUGCUGGAAGCCCUUCAGCUGUCAGUAGAACCCGAUGUAAUUUGUAACUCAAAAAGUCUUUUCUCGUUUUGUAGCAGAAAGGAAGCUUGUUGGCCGCGCAGAUUGCCCGGCCGGGGUGUCACUGUUCUCAGUCAGCGGGGAGGCCGGGCAAACCCGGCCAAACAUUGCCUGCCACAGUCUGAGGUGAAACACCUCAAAAUAGUAGAUAUUUCAGGCUCUCCAGAGGCCAGCUGCUUAGGAGAAAUCAGGUAUACAAUCAACAGCCUUUGUCAGCUAGAUUUUGCUUCCCCCUGCUUCUCUCCAUGUGAAGGCAACUAGCUGCGAUGAAGGUUGAAGACCUUUCAAAACCCAAAGACCCAGAGCACUGCUGCUUAUACCCAGCUUUCAGCUGCACAAAAGAAAUGUUCGUGUUUCUCACGUGCAAAGGUGAAAAACAGAUAUCAAAGUGAGCACCUUGCUAGUUUUCUGUGGUUUUAGGUGGAGAAUGUGUUGGCGUCUCAUCCUCUGAUAAAUUAAUUGUCCAUGUGGAAGGUGCUAAAGCAAUCCCUGCAUUGUAGUUUACUGUGCAUUGUGGAGGAGAACUGAAGAAGUACAAAAGGAAAGGAACUAGGGAAGACUGGAGGAAAACCUGGGAACACAAGUCUUUAUAUGAAGAUCAGGCGAGGACAGAUGGCAGCCCCUUCUGCUCUACUUGCAGGCCCUUUUGCCUGUACUUAAGAGCUUGUAACUGUGUCCAAAAGUGUAAGCAAGGAAGAAUAUGGAAGAAAAUCCUGAUUUUACACCAUAAAAAUAGUUUAAAAUGCAUGCAUAUGCAGGAUUCCUAAAUCUGCAGGUCUCUCAGAAGUGGCGUGAGUCUCAGUGUAAAGGAAAACCAGUAGGAACCAAGUGCUUCCAAAGUACUUCUCAGCAAUCCUAGGUUCUUCAGUUUUACGCACUUCCUGUAAAAUAUACACUUUCUGUAUGUAGGAAGAAGCUUCCCCCUUGGUGGGCAGGCCGUGCAGCAGUGUGUCCUUGCCGCAAGAGUGAGCAGACUGCAGCCUGAGAACCAGUGCUGUGGGACAUUCUAUUCCAACAAGGAUGCAACCUGACCACUUGGGUAGAGGAAAACUCUCGUGAGAGAAGAACCAUUUACAUUCAACAGUCUUGUAGAGCAUCAUUUGUCUUUGGCCUUUCCAAUGCAUUUUAUACUGGAACUUCUACAGCAGCAAAGGCUAUAAUUGAACUUUUAAUGUGGCUUUUCUGUCUGCAUGAGGUUUUAUAGCCCGGGGCCUCAGGACAGGCAGGAUUUCCAAGAUGCAUUUUACUGGAAAGUUUUGAAUAGCUCUGCUUCUUCACAUUGAUUUUUGAAAUAACUGCUGGUCAUGCAAGAUAAUUUGAAUCCAAAGUCAUGUGGAAAACCUCCCACUCUCAAAGUCCUGAUGUAUUUGCGAGUUUUGUAAGCAGUUAGCCUAUAAAUGUAAAUCUCUUCCUAUGGUAAACAUUUACAAUGAAUCAAAGAGAUUGUAGUGGGUGCAUGUUGAGUUCAACAGAUGUAUGGGAAUUCAAGGGCACUGCAAACAUGGCUGGUUCUCCAGUGUGUAGUCUUACCUGCAGCAAGGUAGAUGAGGUUUUUACUAAGAAAAGGUGUGGGAAUAUUUCCAGACCCAAAACCAGCCAUGGCUCAGUACUCAACUCUUUUGUAUUCUCUUUUCAGCCACCGCUGACUUAAAAUUCUAAAUUAUUCUAUGAAAUCUCUUUUUAGUUUAUUAGCAAGAAGUCUUACGCUUCUCUUGAGUUUAAUUACAGACAGUGAAGAUACAGAGACUUGAUCAUUAAGAUUUUUUAAAUGUAUGAUUAUUUAAUGAAGAAAUUUCAAAUUAUUCUGCUUUUUUUGUGCCAUAUUAGAAUGUUUACAAAAAUCAUUCUUGAUUGAUAAAUCUUGAUGAAAUAAAUCUGGAUAAAUCUUCUGAUGGCUUCCCUUUCAUAAUAAUAUGUUUGUUUCCAGUGUUUCUACUGGUCUCUCACUUUGUCCGAACAAAAAUACUGAGAAAGAGAAACUAUAAUAAGGUGUUGCUCAUUCUAGUACAGGCACAUCAAGGAAGUGUAGAGAAUGUGACAAUUAGCAUGGCAAUCAGUAUACCAACUGAUGGUGGCAAUGCCUUCUGCAGUUACAGAAAAGGCUCUGGGUUCUCUCAGGCUCACUCGAAAUUGUGUUCAAAUUGAUGAGGCAAAGUUUAAUGUUCAGAGGAUUUUCCACUGAAGUUAUGCCCUUAAUUCUGUGAGGAUGGGAUGCCAAUGGCAGGAACAGAGAUUUGGGGAAAGGCAUCACACUUGCUGUCAGGCCCAUGAUAGUGCAGGAACAGUUUGUAAUCUUGGUGACAUUUUCAACUGAAGAAGCACAGCAGGAGAUGAAAAGGUGGGUGGAGUGGCUGGCAUUUAGAUGAGCCAGACUGCUUCUAACAUCAAAAGAGCUUCAGUUCAAUAACUGGCCAAAGGGUCAACCAGGUUCUUGCCUUGCCUAAGGCAGUAUUUCCAUAAUGGUUUUGGUCUGUGCAAUUGCUUCCAUACAAACAUGGAGCCAGAGAGCCCAGGCAAACUCCUUAAUUCUUAGAGGGCUUUGUGCUGGCCUAGGAAUUGUACUUUCCUUAAACACUGGACAUGUAAUUACAAAGUUUAUCUUGCCAAAUUAUGGUUUUUUUGCACAAAGUUCUGGUAUCUUUUCUCAACAGUUGUAUAAUUGGGCUGGUUUGCAAUAAACACUUUUAAUCU